AUUGAACGCUGGCGGCAUGCCUUACACAUGCAAGUCGAACGGCAGCACGGAGCUUGCUCUGGUGGCGAGUGGCGAACGGGUGAGUAAUAUAUCGGAACGUACCCAAGAGUGGGGGAUAACGUAGCGAAAGUUACGCUAAUACCGCAUACGAUCUAAGGAUGAAAGUGGGGGCUCGCAAGACCUCAUGCUCCUGGAGCGGCCAAUAUCUGAUUAGCUAGUUGGUGAGGUAAAGGCUCACCAAGGCAUCGAUCAGUAGCUGGUCUGAGAGGACGACCAGCCACACUGGAACUGAGACACGGUCCAGACUCCUACGGGAGGCAGCAGUGGGGAAUUUUGGACAAUGGGGGCAACCCUGAUCCAGCAAUACCGCGUGAGUGAAGAAGGCCUUCGGGUUGUAAAGCUCUUUUGUCAGGGAAGAAACGGUGAAGGCUAAUAUCCUUUGCUAAUGACGGUACCUGAAGAAUAAGCACCGGCUAACUACGUGCCAGCCGCCGCCGUAA
This 500-nucleotide ribosomal RNA is filed under the name uncultured bacterium. RNAcentral describes it as "partial 16S ribosomal RNA". It matches the Rfam family "Bacterial small subunit ribosomal RNA", at positions 30 to 523 of the family's 1533-position model. The record is from RNAcentral.